CUCAAAACAGUUUACGUUUCCACGAUGUAGAUGCAGAAGUACUUGGGGAAAUUUUGUAGCCACAAAUCUGCUCCUUGUUUGGAAAACUUCCAUAAGAUAGCCUACAAUCAAAUCACCCAUCUCCUUGGAGACACAGGAAAUUGUACUUAGGAUCCAUGGGGAAUCUCAGAAUCUCCCUUUUCUAGGUCUUAUGUGCCGAGUACUUACACAACAUAAUGCAACUUUCUAUGCUCUUACUCCUGCAAACGUUUCCUUCUUGUGAAGAGGAGAGCCAUGUAAAUACAAGUUUUAUUUCAUUGAACAUUCAACCAUGUGAAAAUGGAGAAGAGGAAACUUUCCACUUAUUCAUCAUCAUUCAUUCUGACUGCUAAAGAGAUCCAGGCUCCUAACAGCUAAUAAAUGAAAUGGAGAGGUUUUAGAAGACAGUAAAUAAAUGUACAGGACACUGAGGGAGGUAUUUCUGAUUCCUGGCAAGUGCAAACAGUGAAUAAACAACCAAAGCAGGCCUUCUCAGUUAACACUUGGGCAAUAUCUGUUGUGGUCAUUUAAGAGCACUGCACUAUGUCUCCGCCCCAAAUAUUUCCUCCUCUUUUGCUUUGCUGACAAAAAAAUUUCUGCUUAAUCAAGGUUUUGGGUUUAGAGUAAAGGCUUUUAUGAAAUAAAAAUAUUAUGUAACCCUGUAGUUACACUGUGCAACUUUCUCAAGCCCUUUAUCAGAAAAAAACAGCUUUACACAAUGAUGAUAAAAACAUACUUGGAGCCCAGGAGAGGAUGUGUAAUCUCUCUUUAUUGUUUCUAUGGGUCACUGCUCAGUUGAUGAAGAGAGAGCAUUUCAUGGGUCUCUGACAGUCUUAUUGCCCUGAUUUUUAAAAAAAAAUUUUCUGUUCUAUCCAUUUCCUCUCUUUCUCUCCAUGGUACUGGAUCCUCUCCAUUCAUUCUUUGUGUCAAAGGUGAAGGAGACACAACAAAUCUUUGACUGGGGAUUCUAGACCUGUGUCAUCCAUUAGAGUAGCCACUAGAUACACAUGACUAUUGAACAUGUAAAACGUGACUAGUGUGACUGAAUUUUAAAUUCAGUUUAAUUUGAAUAAAUUUAGAUUUAAAAAUUGAAGCUGUUAAACACCACUAAACACAACUUUAUUAUUUUGGUAGAACUAUAUUUCACUCCAGCCGUUGAAAAUUUACCCUGAGUUGAGAUGGAUGAAGAAUGUCAAAUACACACUGGAGUUCAAAGACCUAAUAUAAAAAAAUAACAUAAAAUGUCUCAUUAAAAAUUUUUAUAUUGGCCUGGUGUGUGUAGCUCAUUCCUAUAAUCCCAACACUUUGGGAGGUCGAGGUGGGAGGACCACUUGAGGCCAGGAUUUAAGACUGGUCUGAGCAACAAAGCAAAAGCUCCAUCUCUACCAAAAAUAGUAAUAAUAAUGAUAUUUUUUAUUAUUAUAGAUAAUAUUUAUUAUUAUAUUGAAAUAAAAUUUUGGAUAAUUAAAAUAAAUGAUAAAUUAUUAAAACAAAUGUCAUUUCUUUUUAUUAUUUAAUGUGGCUAUAAGAAAAUAUAAAAUGAUAAAGGUGGUUCUCAUAAUUCUAACUGGGCAGCAUCUGGUUGUUUCAUUGGGAUAGCACUGAACUCUCUCUCUGCCCCAGACAUUUCUUCCACUUUGGCUUUGCCAAGAUGAUUGAAAAAAGGCUCUGGUUUGUUCAAGAUUUUGUGUUCAGAGUAAAGGCUUUUGUAGAAUAAAAAUAAAUAAUCCUGUAGUUAUGCUGUGCAACAUCCUCAAGCUCUUCAUCAGAAAGACCCAACUCUCCAGGUUCUUACAUUCUUCAGGAUGCACCCACCUACUGAACACAAGCCAUUCUCUUAGUUAUAUAGUUCGCUUUUCAUAGCCUAUAUUCAGUGCCAAGUGGCUCCCCUCCUUCCAGGGUGAGAAAAACAAGGGAUGGGGAACAAACCUCAUCCUGAAGCCAUCAUCAGUUCCAAUACUCAGCGUCACUGAGAAUACCAGAUCAAGUUGCCUUCAGCAGGGUGGGGAACAAAGACGUUGGGCCAAGGGACUUUUGAUGGUUGGGUUAGGAGAGAAAGAAGAGGAAGGUAUAGACAGAUGGGAGAAUACUCCAAGGCAUGGAAUGUUUUUAGGAUAGCUAGUUAGGUGCUGAUUUAAGAGAGAGGGGCUUAGGCAUGAGUAUGUUGGGUUUCUAGGAGGAAUGUAUAUCUUAUAAAUGAGA
Molecule: long non-coding RNA, 2220 nt
Organism: Callithrix jacchus (white-tufted-ear marmoset)
Lineage: Eukaryota; Metazoa; Chordata; Mammalia; Primates; Cebidae
Source: Ensembl